RNAcentral lists this transfer RNA (73 nucleotides) under Bos taurus (domestic cattle). It matches the Rfam family "tRNA". Rfam says of the family: Transfer RNA (tRNA) molecules are approximately 80 nucleotides in length. Their secondary structure includes four short double-helical elements and three loops (D, anti-codon, and T loops). RNAcentral also lists the same sequence under 5 other names. Lineage: Eukaryota; Metazoa; Chordata; Mammalia; Artiodactyla; Bovidae. The record is from Rfam by way of RNAcentral.
UCCCUUGUAGCUCAGUCGGUUAAAGAAUCUGCCUGCAAUACAGGAGACCCAGGUUCGAUCCCUGGAUUGGGAA